GAUGAACGCUGGCGGCGUGCCUAAUACAUGCAAGUCGAGCGAACAGACGAGGAGCUUGCUCCUCUGACGUUAGCGGCGGACGGGUGAGUAACACGUGGAUAACCUACCUAUAAGACUGGGAUAACUUCGGGAAACCGGAGCUAAUACCGGAUAAUAUAUUGAACCGCAUGGUUCAAUAGUGAAAGACGGUUUUGCUGUCACUUAUAGAUGGAUCCGCGCCGCAUUAGCUAGUUGGUAAGGUAACGGCUUACCAAGGCAACGAUGCGUAGCCGACCUGAGAGAGUGAGCGGCCACACUGGAACUGAGACACGGUCCAGACUCCUACGGGAGGCAGCAGUAGGGAAUCUUCCGCAAUGGGCGAAAGCCUGACGGAGCAACGCCGCGUGAGUGAUGAAGGUCUUCGGAUCGUAAAACUCUGUUAUUAGGGAAGAACAAAUGUGUAAGUAACUAUGCACGUCUUGACGGUACCUAAUCAGAAAGCCACGGCUAACUACGUG
This 497-nucleotide ribosomal RNA is filed under the name uncultured bacterium. RNAcentral describes it as "partial 16S ribosomal RNA". It matches the Rfam family "Bacterial small subunit ribosomal RNA", at positions 28 to 507 of the family's 1533-position model. The record is from RNAcentral.